RNAcentral lists this ribosomal RNA (260 nucleotides) under uncultured bacterium. RNAcentral describes it as "partial 16S ribosomal RNA". It matches the Rfam family "Bacterial small subunit ribosomal RNA", at positions 28 to 290 of the family's 1533-position model. The record is from RNAcentral.
GACGGACGCUGGCGGCGUGCUUAACACAUGCAAGUCGAGCGGUAAGGCCCUUUCGGGGGUACACGAGCGGCGAACGGGUGAGUAACACGUGGGUGACCUGCCCUCAGCUCUGGGAUAAGCCUGGGAAACCGGGUCUAAUACCGGAUAUGACUCCAUGACGCAUGUUGUGGGGUGGAAAGCCUUGUGCGGCUGAGGAUGGGCCCGCGGCCUAUCAGCUUGUUGGUGGGGUGAUGGCCACCAAGGCGACGACGGGUAGCCGC